GACGAACGCUGGCGGCGUGCUUAACACAUGCAAGUCGAACGAAAAGAGGGAAAGAGCUUGCUCUUUCCGGAAUUGAGUGGCAAACGGGUGAGUAACACGUAAACAACCUGCCUUCAGGAUGGGGACAACAGACGGAAACGACUGCUAAUACCGAAUAAGUUCCAAGAGCCGCAUGGCCCAUGGAAGAAAAGGUGGCCUCUACCUGUAAGCUAUCGCCUGAAGAGGGGUUUGCGUCUGAUUAGCUGGUUGGAGGGGUAACGGCCCACCAAGGCGACGAUCAGUAGCCGGUCUGAGAGGAUGAACGGCCACACUGGAACUGAGACACGGUCCAGACUCCUACGGGAAGCAGCAGUGGGGAAUCUUCCGCAAUGGGCGAAAGCCUGACGGAGCAACGCCGCGUGAGUGAUGACGGCCUUCGGGUUGUAAAACUCUGUGAUCCGGGACGAAAAGGCAGAGUGCGAAGAACAAACUGCAUUGACGGUACCGGAAAAGCAAGCCACGGCUAACUACGUG
This 513-nucleotide ribosomal RNA is filed under the name uncultured bacterium. Its description in RNAcentral is "partial 16S ribosomal RNA". It matches the Rfam family "Bacterial small subunit ribosomal RNA", at positions 28 to 507 of the family's 1533-position model. The record is from RNAcentral.